RNAcentral lists this ribosomal RNA (253 nucleotides) under uncultured bacterium. RNAcentral's name for it is "partial 16S ribosomal RNA". It matches the Rfam family "Bacterial small subunit ribosomal RNA", at positions 524 to 776 of the family's 1533-position model. The record is from RNAcentral.
UACGUAGGGGGCUAGCGUUGUCCGGAUUUAUUGGGCGUAAAGAGCUCGUAGGCGGCUUGUCGCGUCGACUGUGAAAUCCCGCGGCUCAACUGCGGGUCUGCAGUCGAUACGGGCAGGCUAGAGUUCGGUAGGGGAGACUGGAAUUCCUGGUGUAGCGGUGAAAUGCGCAGAUAUCAGGAGGAACACCGAUGGCGAAGGCAGGUCUCUGGGCAUUAACUGACGCUGAGGAGCGAAAGCAUGGGGAGCGAACAGG